This is a small nucleolar RNA of Labrus bergylta (ballan wrasse), 80 nucleotides long. RefSeq annotates it as small nucleolar RNA SNORD71. The record is from RefSeq and is a predicted model, not a curated record. NCBI's taxonomy places the organism in Eukaryota, Metazoa, Chordata, Actinopteri, Labriformes, Labridae.
AAAAUGCUGGUUGAUGAAAAAAAGAGUGAUCCAUCGUCUGACAGACGCUGCUGAUAACAUUUGUUUUCUGACAGCAUUUG